AAGUCGUAACAAGGUUUCCGUAGGUGAACCUGCGGAAGGAUCAUUAACGAAUAACUAUGGUGUCUUGGUUGUAGCUGGCUCCUCGGAGCAUUGUGCACGCCCGCCAUUUUUAUCUAUCCACCUGUGCACCGACUGUAGGUCUGGAUGACUCUCGCACUCCUCGAGUGCGGAUGCGGGGAUUGCCCUCUUCACGGAGGUGUCUCUCCUCGAAUUUCCAGGCUCUACGUCUUUUUACACACCCCAAAAGUAUGAUAUAGAAUGUAGUCAAUGGGCUUGAUAGCCUAUAAAACACUAUACAACUUUCAGCAACGGAUCUCUUGGCUCUC
Molecule: unclassified non-coding RNA, 326 nt
Filed under: air metagenome
Description: partial contains small subunit ribosomal RNA, internal transcribed spacer 1, and 5.8S ribosomal RNA
Rfam family: Eukaryotic small subunit ribosomal RNA (bases 1-46)
Source: RNAcentral